GAUCAUGGCUCGGGAUGAACGCUAGCGGCAGGCUUAACACAUGCAAGUCGGAGGGGCAGCAUAAUGGAUAGCAAUAUCUAUGGUGGCGACCGGCGGCACGGGUGCGUAACGCGUAUGCAACCUACCUUUAACAGGGGGAUAACACUGAGAAAAUUGGUACUAAUACCCCAUAAUAUCAUAGAAGGCAUCUUUAUGGUUGAAAAUUCCGAUGGUUAGUAGAUGGGGCAUGCGGUUGUAUUAG
This 241-nucleotide ribosomal RNA is filed under the name uncultured bacterium. Its description in RNAcentral is "partial 16S ribosomal RNA". It matches the Rfam family "Bacterial small subunit ribosomal RNA", at positions 15 to 244 of the family's 1533-position model. The record is from RNAcentral.